Molecule: ribosomal RNA, 253 nt
Filed under: uncultured bacterium
Lineage: Bacteria
Description: partial 16S ribosomal RNA
Rfam family: Bacterial small subunit ribosomal RNA
Source: RNAcentral
UACGUAGGGUGCAAGCGUUGUCCGGAAUUAUUGGGCGUAAAGAGCGUGUAGGCGGCUUUACAGGUCCGUUGUGAAAACUCGAGGCUCAACCUCGAGACGCCGGUGGAAACCGUAAGGCUAGAGUCCGGAAGAGGAGAGUGGAAUUCCUGGUGUAGCGGUGAAAUGCGCAGAUAUCAGGAAGAACACCCGUGGCGAAGGCGGCUCUCUGGUACAUGAUUGACGCUGAGACGCGAAAGCGUGGGGAGCGAACAGG